RNAcentral lists this transfer RNA (64 nucleotides) under Singapora shinshana. RNAcentral describes it as "tRNA-Ser". Lineage: Eukaryota; Metazoa; Arthropoda; Insecta; Hemiptera; Cicadellidae. The record is from RNAcentral.
AGUUACUUAACUUAUAUAAAGUAUUUACUUUGAAAGUAAAAGAAAGAUUAAAAUUUAGUAACUU